GAUGAACGCUGGCGGCGUGCUUAACACAUGCAAGUCGAACGGAAAGGCCCAAGCUUGCUUGGGUACUCGAGUGGCGAACGGGUGAGUAACACGUGGGCGAUCUGCCCCGCACUUCGGGAUAAGCCUGGGAAACUGGGUCUAAUACCGGAUAGGACAGUGGCUUGGAUGCCAUUGUGGAAAGUUUUUUCGGUGUGGGAUGAGCUCGCGGCGUAUCCGCUUGUUGGGGGGGUGAUGGCCUACCGAGGCGUCGACGGGUAGCCGGCCUGAGAGGGUGUACGGCGACAUUGAGACUGAGGUGCGGCCGCAGUGGCGACGGGAGGAAGAAGGGGGGAAGAUUGAACAAGGGGCGCAGGCCGGAUGAAGCGAGGCUGCGGGGUGGAAGACGGUCUUGUGGUUGAAAACACCUUGCGCUAGGGACGAAGCGUUAUGUGACGGUACCUAGAGAAGAAGCACCGGCUAACUACGUG
This 467-nucleotide ribosomal RNA is filed under the name uncultured bacterium. RNAcentral describes it as "partial 16S ribosomal RNA". It matches the Rfam family "Bacterial small subunit ribosomal RNA", at positions 28 to 507 of the family's 1533-position model. The record is from RNAcentral.